CCUACGGGGGGCAGCAGUGAGGAAUAUUGGUCAAUGGGAGAGAUCCUGAACCAGCCAAGCCGCGUGAGGGAAGACGGCCCUAUGGGUUGUAAACCUCUUUUGUCGGAGAACAAAACCCGGGACGUGUCCCGGACUGCGUGUAUCCGACGAAAAAGCAUCGGCUAACUCCGUGCCAGCAGCCGCGGUAAUACGGAGGAUGCGAGCGUUAUCCGGAUUUAUUGGGUUUAAAGGGUGCGUAGGCGGUCCGUUAAGUCAGCGGGAAAAUUGCGGGGCUCAACCCCGUCGAGCCGUUGAUACUGGCAGACUUGAGUUGGCGAGAAGUACGCGGAAUGUGCGGUGUAGCGGUGAAAUGCAUAGAUAUCGCGCAGAACUCCGAUUGCGAAGGCAGCGUACCGGCGCCAUACUGACGCUGAGGCACGAAAGCGUGGGGAUCGAACAGGAUUAGAUACCCGGGUAGUC
Molecule: ribosomal RNA, 459 nt
Filed under: uncultured bacterium
Lineage: Bacteria
Description: partial 16S ribosomal RNA
Rfam family: Bacterial small subunit ribosomal RNA
Source: RNAcentral